UACGGAGGGUGCAAGCGUUAAUCGGAAUUACUGGGCGUAAAGCGCACGUAGGUGGUUUGCUAAGCUAGCUGUGAAAUCCCCGGGCUCAACCUGGGCACUGCAGUUAGAACUGGCAAGCUAGAGUAGGGUAGAGGGGUGUGGAAUUCCAGGUGUAGCGGUGAAAUGCGUAGAUAUGUGGAGGAACACCGAUGGCGAAGGCAGCCCCCUGGGUCAAAACUGACGCUCAUGCACGAAAGCGUGGGGAGCAAACAGG
RNAcentral lists this ribosomal RNA (253 nucleotides) under uncultured prokaryote. RNAcentral describes it as "partial 16S ribosomal RNA". It matches the Rfam family "Bacterial small subunit ribosomal RNA", at positions 524 to 776 of the family's 1533-position model. The record is from RNAcentral.